This is a non-coding RNA of Malus domestica (apple), 341 nucleotides long. Lineage: Eukaryota; Viridiplantae; Streptophyta; Magnoliopsida; Rosales; Rosaceae. The record is from RefSeq and is a predicted model, not a curated record.
ACUCUCAUGGUGUUGGCCUAUACUUUUUACCCUCCUCCCUCUUUUGUUUUCAUAUUCCUUCGGCUUUAGCCUCAAGAGAUCAAGAGAGAAAGAAGAACAAUUUUGACAAGAGAGGAGGCUCCAUCAAGGAUGUAUAAUUCCAUGCAUAUUUCGCAGGUUUUAGAUAAGCUUGUUCAUUGGUGGCUCACGAGGAUUGAUUGGAGGUUCUGACAGACUAUCACAAAUGUAGGAUAUCUUUGGAUGUCGUUUAAUUAGUACUUGUUUUCUGGACUGAACUUAGGCUACUUAUGCUCUGAUUGUGUAUUCACACAUAUUCUAGCAUUUGUCUUAACUUGUACUCU